This is a long non-coding RNA of Lagenorhynchus albirostris (white-beaked dolphin), 4352 nucleotides long. RefSeq lists it as uncharacterized. The record is from RefSeq and is a predicted model, not a curated record. NCBI's taxonomy places the organism in Eukaryota, Metazoa, Chordata, Mammalia, Artiodactyla, Delphinidae. The transcript has 5 exons.
GAAGGAAAGGGCACUGCCCUGGCUUGGGCUGGGCAGGCUGGGGACAGCCACAAGGUUGGCUUGAACUCCCAUGGGGUGGCCCCUGCCUGGUUUCAAGGAGGGGCUGCCCAGGAUUUGGGCUCUGCCCGGGGCACUGAGUGUCCUCCUGACAUUUCAAGCUCUUUGUUUCGUUCGUUUGACUCCUCUGAUUUUCUAUUUUAAUCAGGGAUCUCCCUAUAUGCUACUCUUAAGCCACCAUGUAAAGAUCAACUGGGAUCCACAGGGUGAUUUCUUUCCAGUGGACCUAGCUGGGUGGAACGAACUACAACACGGGCUUGUGUGUGUGUGGCAGGGGCUGGUGCAGUGGUGACCGAGGUAUCACGGGCGGGGAGUGUGCUCUGUGCCCUCCCGCUGAGAAGUGAUUCCUGACACCUGCCCCACCAGCUGAGAGCCCAGGAAGCCUCGCCUUUUCAGCGUGUUAGUGGAGCAGCCUUGCAAAGACUGAGGCAAGAGUGUGUGAAAUCCCCACGGCUCUCGUCACACGGGCUGUUUGGGAUGCUCUGUGACUCGGCUCUGAUACGGCAAAGAGCCCCAGGAGCCUUAAAAAGCUGCUGCCUGUGCUGUUCCUGGGGGAAAUUCGCUCUCCUUCGGAUCAGACUCUGUCUCUCUUGGUUUUGCCUCCAAGAAUUGCCCAAGUGGGGCCCAGCGUGGGCAGCCUCCUUCCCCUGCCCUGAGUUGUGCACGGCACCCCACACAGCCCUUCACAUUUCAUCUCCAGCGGGCCUGGCUAUGGACUCAUCCUCUUCAAGACAAGGUCGUAAUCUGGAUUGCUCCCCCGAAAGUGCCGCCCUGCAAAGGCGCCUGCCACUAGGUCUGCUGUGAGGGUGCCGGUGUGGCUGCCGGCUGUGUGCAGGGAGGCAGUCCAGCAGCUGGAAAAGCCACAGAUGUCUGUGGGUCUGUUCCCACUCCUUUUCCAGGGCUAACUGCGUGCACGGAAACCAUGAAAGCACUGUCUGGGCCCAGGCAGCGGUCCCCUUGCGGGGUGAUUAGUACUGGCGCCAGCAGCCUCUCGGACCUUGGGACUGAGACCUUGGGACCUGCCAGGAAGGGGGUAGACCAAAUGCCUCUGACCCCUCAGGGCGAAGGCAACGGACGAGGGAAGUGGCUACUUUUCAGCUGAAACUCAACCAUCUCCCCAAAAGCAAGGAGCUGCUAUCUGCUAGAGACAAAAGGGGGAGCAGUGCUUUCCACCCCCAAGCACACCAGCACAGCCUUCACAUCGCAGGGGUCCAUCUCCUGGAGGGCAGCAGCACAGACCCUGACCAGGUGGGAGGCACCCUCUUCUCUGGAUGCAGUGGGUGUGGUCCUCUCUCCCACAUCCUGAGUUUCACUGAUGGGGAGGCAGGAAGUCCAAACCUAGCCCUUUCCUUCUCUCUCGAGGUGGGCACAGCUCCCUAGGGACGGAUGCCUGGUUUUCCUCUACUUGAGGUACACAGUCACUGCAGCUGAAGUCCUUCCCGCUCCUGUUCCUUAAACUCCUUCAGUCAUUGCAGCUUUCGUCUCAGACACUCCAGAGGCAGGGGCAGGGUAAGAGCCAGGAGCAAGAGGUAAGCCCACCUCCCAACUGCACCAGAGCAAGGCAAGGAGGCCUGCUUACCCUCUCCCUGCCAAAAAUACUGUCAUUUUCCAGAAAGGAGCCAAGCCCAGCUCAGCAACUGACAAGGCUGAGGUGGAUUUGUUGGGGGCCAGGGGAGGCAUCUGGCGAGAAAGGCAUCCUUCGGAAAUACGUUGGCCCAGCUGCGGUUUGAAUACUAUAGCUUUUCUGUAUGUUCGUUUACGGAUCAAUCCUUUUUUCGCCUAUCUCUGAAGUUUCCUGGGGGAGAAUCCACCUAUUCUUUCUUUUUUUCCAGAGACAUUUCUUCAAAAGGAAAAGAAAAUGGAGAUGUCGGGUCUGGAGGAGAAGACCCACAAAGCAAAAAUAAAGACAAUGAGAGCCGUCCUCAUUGAACUGUCCCUCGCCGCCCUCGCCGUAGUCCACCAGGCUGUCGUCACUCUCCUGUUGCUUGAUGGUACCAUCCAGGGACGUCUGGCUGCCCUGCAAGGGCUUGUUGUCCUCGUCACUGGAUGGAGAGAGGACAGAGAGUCAGGGCUGGCCCACCCAGCGCAGCCCAAACCCAGGCCGGGCGGAGGAAGGCCUCCAGCCUCUUGCCAGGCGCGCGUACCACACAGCUCAGAGAGGACGGGACCUCAGGGAUGGCCCAGACCAGCCCUCACUCCCCUCCCCGUCCGGCCAGUUCUGCAGAAGGGAAGCUGAGGCCUAGAGAGGACAGCAUCGUCUCCCAGGCGAGGGGCAAGCUGGUGCGGAGCUGGGAUGGACCCACGCUCCUGGACGCCGGGUCUGGGGUCCUCUCCGGGAAGCUGGGUCGCUCUCCGGGAUGGAAGCAGGCAGAGGACGCCACCCCAUGUUUCGGACUCUUGGACUCAUCCAAGUGGGGGCUCUAGGAUGGAUGCCGCAGGCCUCCCCAGAGCCGAAGCCAAGGGAGCAAGAAGGUGGAAACACACAUACAAAGAUGCAAUAAAUCGGAGUCGUGCAGUUGAAUGAAUGAAAUGCUGUUCAUCGAAUGAGUGUGUGUUGGGCAGUGCGUGCCAUCCCCGGGGGUAGGGGGGUGCUGUCACAGAGGCGGAGGUGACAGCCUGAUGGGAGAGGACAUCCGUGCAGUAGCGUCUCAGCCCAGCUGAGCAGCUCUGAGGGAAGGGGGCUGCCUCAGGGGGGGUGAGGAGAACCCACCUGACAAGGGGUGCUCUGUGUGAACAGGAGUCAAGGAGAUCGCGCACCUGUAAUCAAAGGAGCCAUCCUCUUCUUUGGGGUCCUCAGGGCCAAGGGGAACAUCCUUCUUUUCUCGCACUUGGUCAGUAAGGGAAGCAAAGACACAGACGUCAUGACUGAGCGUGCUCGAGCUCUGCGGGGCCCCAAAGUACAGCCAAAGAAGCCGCCUCUGGGUUCCAUGACUCUCCCUCUUAACAAGGCCCCAUCCAUGCCCCCCUUGUUCUUGCCUCCCACGGUUGCUUGGGUGCCAAGUGAAUUCUGCUUCCUCCUCCUCGUCACUGGGGCUUUUCUUAUAUCUCCACUGACAACUGAAAUCUCCCCCGACCCGGCUCCCCACCACCGCUCCGUGAGGUCUUCUCCAAUCACCAAAUGGAUGCGAUCCUUGGCACCUUUCUUUUUUUCUUUUGGCUGCAGCACUCGGCAUACUAGAUCUUAGUUCCCUGACCAGGGAUCGAACCCAUGCCCCCUGCAAUGGAAGCGCCGAGUCCUAACCACUGGACCACCAGGGAAUUCCUUGGCACCUUUCUUAAUCUGGUUCCCUGUUAUAAUUAUGUGUGCACAUUUAUUUUGCCUGUAACAGAAUGCCAGUUCUUUUCUCGAGGGUGGGGACUGUGUGUUUCUUCAAAGCUCCUAAGAGAGUGCCCUGGGCAGACAGGACACGCCACACACACCUCUGGAAUGGAAGGUGCUCUCUUAACUGUGACCUCACUUGUUUGUGCGACUCCUUCUUCCCACACCUCCUCUGUGAUGUGUCAGCGUCCCUCCCAGGCCCUGUCUUGUGCUGUGAUCCUCCUACUAUGCCAGCUGCACUGUCCUUGAGGGAGGGGUCACCUCUCCUUCUAGUAUCCUUAGCACCCAGCACAGAGCCUGGCACACAGCAGACACUGAGGUGAGUGACUUCGUUUCUUCCUGAGGUAUGAGGCAGGAUAAUCACCCCUAUUUUAGGGGAGGGAAGCUGAGGCCUUGAAGAUGUCACGUAACUAAUUAGCAACUAAAGUUUAAGGUGGAGACUGAAGCCCUGGCCUCAAGGCUCCUGGUUCACUCAUCUUCCUAAUGGAUGGGGGGCUUCCCUUGGAGCUGGAGGAAAGGAGAUUAGCUGUAAGAAGAACUUUCUGGAAUGGGCAGAGGAAGGCUGAGUUUAUCUGAUCAGUUCUCAGGUGCAUCAGUUCCACCUGGAACAGAGGGUAAGCUCAGAAAGGCUGCCCUUCUCCUAACGCUGCCUUUCUGUCUUACAGAAGAAAACCAGCCCCAACACAGCACAACAAAGUGAAAGAAAACAUCAUUCACCAAUAAAGAAGUAUAAUUUCCUGCCCUCCCUGACUUGAAGGAGAGGCAUAACUCUUUAGAAUCCUAGGGUCUGAGGGCACACGGGCCAGGGGAAGAAAAUCAAACAGAAUCUCCUCUCUCUUUAAGUUUUAGGGGAUCGUGGAGGAGGAUGUGUUCACAGAGAUGCGCAGAAGCCGGCACUUGGGGAGCAUGGGGUGUGUCUGGCAAUGGCUUUGGGGGCAGGGAGCAAUUUCAUUGUGCAAUCCAGCUGGAUUUUCAC